RNAcentral lists this ribosomal RNA (440 nucleotides) under uncultured bacterium. RNAcentral describes it as "partial 16S ribosomal RNA". It matches the Rfam family "Bacterial small subunit ribosomal RNA", at positions 339 to 795 of the family's 1533-position model. The record is from RNAcentral.
CUACGGGGGGCUGCAGUGAGGAAUAUUGCACAAUGGGGGGAACCCUGAUGCAGCAACGCCGCGUGGAGGAUGACGCAUUUCGGUGUGUAAACUCCUUUUAUAUGUCAAGAAAAUGACGGUAGCAUAUGAAUAAGCACCGGCUAACUCCGUGCCAGCAGCCGCGGUAAGUACGGAGGGUGCAAGCGUUACUCGGAAUCACUGGGCGUAAAGGACGCGUAGGCGGGUUGGAAAGUCAGGUGUGAAAUCCUACAGCUUAACUGUAGAACUGCACUUGAAACUUCUAAUCUAGAGUAUGGGAGGGGGAGAUGGAAUUAGUGGUGUAGGGGUAAAAUCCGUAGAUAUCACUAGGAAUACCUAAAGCGAAGGCGAUCUCCUGGAACAUUACUGACGCUAAGGCGUGAAAGCGUGGGGAGCAAACAGGAUUAGAUACCCCUGUAGUC